This 301-nucleotide ribosomal RNA is filed under the name uncultured bacterium. RNAcentral describes it as "partial 16S ribosomal RNA". It matches the Rfam family "Bacterial small subunit ribosomal RNA", at positions 509 to 807 of the family's 1533-position model. The record is from RNAcentral.
CAGCAGCCGCGGUAAUACGAGGGGGGCAAGCGUUGUUCGGAAUUAUUGGGCGUAAAGGGUGCGUAGGCGGUUUGGCAAGUUUGGUGUGAAAUCUUCGGGCUCAACUCGAAGUCUGCAUCGAAAACUGCCGGGCUUGAGUAUGGGAGAGGUGAGUGGAAUUUCCGGUGUAGCGGUGAAAUGCGUAGAUAUCGGAAGGAACACCUGUGGCGAAAGCGGCUCACUGGACCAUAACUGACGCUGAUGCACGAAAGCGUGGGGAGCAAACAGGAUUAGAUACCCGCGUAGUCCCUGUCUCUUAUAC